CCUACGGGUGGCAGCAGUGAGGAAUAUUGGUCAAUGGGCGAGAGCCUGAACCAGCCAAGUCGCGUGAAGGAUGACUGUUCUAUGGAUUGUAAACCUCUUUUAUAAAGGAAUAAAAUGCGGGACGUGUGCCGUUUUGUAUGUACCUUAUGAAUAAGGAUCGGCUAACUCCGUGCCAGCAGCCGCGGUAAUACGGAGGAUCCGAGCGUUAUCCGGAUUUAUUGGGUUUAAAGGGAGCGUAGGCGGCGUUGUAAGUCAGUGGUGAAAGUUUGGGGCUCAACCAUAGAAUUGCAGUUGAAACUGGCAGUCUUGAGUAUGUUUGAGGCAGGCGGAAUGCGUGGUGUAGCGGUGAAAUGCUUAGAUAUCACGAAGAACCCCGAUUGCGAAGGCAGCUUGCCAAGCCAUGACUGACGCUGAUGCACGAAAGUGUGGGGAUCAAACAGGAUUAGAUACCCCUGUAGUC
This 460-nucleotide ribosomal RNA is filed under the name uncultured bacterium. RNAcentral's name for it is "partial 16S ribosomal RNA". It matches the Rfam family "Bacterial small subunit ribosomal RNA", at positions 338 to 795 of the family's 1533-position model. The record is from RNAcentral.